GACGAACGCUGGCGGCGUGCUUAACACAUGCAAGUCGAACGGUAAGCCCCGUUCGUGGUCUGUGGGAUGAGUGGCGAACGGGUGAGUAACACGUGAGUAACCUUCCCUUGACUCUGGGAUACACGUUGGAAACGACGUUUAAUACCGGAUAGGACCUUUGAUUGCAUGAGGUUGGGUGGAAUGGUUGGUCUGUCUUGGAUGCACUCGCUGCCUCUCAGCUUGUUGGUGAGGUGAUUGCUCAGCAAGGCGUCGUCGGCUGGCCUGCCUGGGCGGGGGACCACCCACCCUGGUAGUGCGGAGAGGCGCCGCAGCCUACGGGGGGCAGCAGUGGGGAAUAUUGUUGCAUGAGCGGAAGCAUGCUGAAGCAACGCCGCGUGCGGGAUGACGGCCGCCGGGUUGUUAAAAGCUUUUAGUAGGAAAGACGGGGCUCGGCUUGACGGUACCUGCAGAAAAAGGACCGGCUAACUACGUG
Molecule: ribosomal RNA, 472 nt
Filed under: uncultured bacterium
Lineage: Bacteria
Description: partial 16S ribosomal RNA
Rfam family: Bacterial small subunit ribosomal RNA
Source: RNAcentral